GUGGUCAGAAUUUAGCAAUUUUGCCAAUUUCACACAAAUUUCAAAAGAUGCCAAUAUCGGAAUAGGGUUCAGAAUAAACAAGAAAGACAUUCCUGGCACUAAAAUGACAUUUCCUCUAGUCAUUAGUCACGUCUCAAGGCCCCUCUUAUAUUCUUUUGCUUUCCACUUUGAAUUUUUAUUCUCACAAAAAAUAUAAGAUUUACUGUUAUGCAGACUACUGCAUUAGUGUAAAAAAUGGUAUAAAUAUUAUUGGUGCACUUGUGAAAGAAUAUUAGACUCACCAGUUGACGUGUAUUGCACGCUUGGCACGAUUUGUUUACUUUUGAAGUUUGGUAAAAAUCGAACAUUUCUGCUACUUUGAGCUCAAUUUCAAGGCACCUUUCAUUGUAAAACCAGUCAAAAUCAUCUCAAUUUCAGUAAUAUGUCUUCCAUUCUAUAAAAUGAGACCAAGAAAACUAGAAUACAACAAUAAAUACCAUACGAAAAUACACUGCAAAGUCGCUGAUUUAUUAAAAAAAAUGGAAAAAGUUUUUUUUUUCUCAUUAUGCACUGUGUGCUGCAGGAUUUUUUUUAGACUGUGCACACUGACCACAUAGACCCAUUCUUUCAUAUGAAGGCCUACCAGCUUUCUCCCUCUAGAUUUGAGGCCGCUAGAAUUUAUGAGUACUAGUACGUCAAAAACCCCUACGCGUAAGACGUACUAGUACGACGAAAACCCUCAAAGGGUUAAAUUUCAGCAUUGACGGUUUUUAGCUCUUUACUAAAUGCAUAUUCUGUUAUUCAUAUUCAGUUAUGUUGUUUCAUAUUAGCAAUGGUAAAAUGCUUUUAUCAAUGCUUAAAAUGCUUUUAUCAGUUUCAUGCGACUCAGAAUACCAUUUCUAUCUCUUCUAAUUACUGUUUUGGUAGUUAAAGAAAUUCAUAAUUACCCUUAAUAUUGCCAUUUAUUUUUACCACCUUAUUUUUACUGCAUUUUCCAAAGAUCAUCCUAUAUUUAAAUUAUUAUUAUUUUUUAUACUGUAUUAAUCUUAAAUAUACUGUACUAUACCUUUUACUUUUAUAAAUAUGCAGUUCACUUUCCCACUUAUUUUGUAAUCAGGACCUGUUACCAAGUGAUCUGUCCAUUUCAUCUUGCAAAAUCUUUCCCUUCUACUCCUUUUUACAAUUAUUCACUCUCAGGCUUAGAGAUCACUACCUAUUCUUUUGUGCUUAUUGACCAACUCGUUCAUUCUUCUCAGUUUUUCAAUUCUUACAUCUUUGGAAAGGCACCAUUGUCCUCUUAGCAGUCUGCCAUAUUCAGCACUGUAGUAAGAGCAAAUAAUCCUAUUAAAUUUCACAUGCAGUGUUAUAUAUUUGUACUUAGAUAUGCUUUGCUUUACAUUCUCAUAAGCAGUUACUCUUACCUGGUAUUCCUUCUUUCACCAUGUAUAUUUAUUUGAUAUAUCCUUAUGUUUAAAAAAUGUAUAUUUAUGAUAUCUUCUUUUCAUUAUACACUCUUUGGUUUGAGGUCAUUAUUAUUUGCACAUGAGAAUUGAUCAUUCUCAUAGCCGAGUCCACUCCUACUAUCCAGACUGUUUAUCCCAGUCUUACACUAACUGUUUGGUAUUAUUCAAGUCUCUCACCCUUUCACUACUUUUUCUCCUAUCAUAUUUAUCCUAUCCUAUAUCUUAUCCUAUCAUAAAACCUAUGGUACUUCACACAGGCACCUUGAUUUAUGUUAUGAGAAGGCCCUUUAAUACAUCAUAUUAUUCAUUAAUAAGCUAAUUCCUUCUGUACCUCACUUAGUUUCUUACUCUUAUUUUUUUAAACUACAUACUGUGCCACUUAUGUGCCCUGCCUUAAGCUAGCUUUUGUUUCACACAGCUCACUGACAUUUAACCUCCCAUCUCUGAACACUUGCACCACUUUCGUUCCUCACUUAUCCCUCUCACAUUCCACACAGCCAUACGUGCCUGCCUUUGCUUUCUGGGACCCGGGCAGGCGCGGGCUCCAGAUCCGAGGCUGUUUUGGCCUUUAGUGGGGAGAAGAUAGAGAAGAUGGGUCCCCAGCCCAAUCUCCUUCCCUUUUAUCACAGGGGAUACGGGGCUGUUUGCCCCACUGAGUGGUGGGCGAUGGGGUCGCCACAUCCCUACGCCCUCGCCACAUCCCUACACCAAGGGAUACAAGACUGAAGCUGAUGGAGCCCCGACCUGCAGCCCACAUGGAGCGCCUGGCAUCAUAACUGUCCUAGCCUAGGAAGCCUCCCUCCUGGUUCCACAGAUCAGAUUUCCAUCAUUACAGGGUCAAGAUGAUAAAUUUUACAGGAGGAAAAUUUUUUCUGUUGACCAAGUUUAAGCUAAAAUCAUUAAAGAGCAGAGACUGUUUCUUAAUGUUGUACAUUCAUUCAUAGUUAAAAUUUCAUUAACAGCUGCAGGUGUACUCUUUAAAUACAAACCAGACAAAUUUAGAAAAUUCUUAAUUUACAAUUGCAUAUAUAUAUACAUAUAUAUAUAUAUCAGUGCAACAAUUGCCCCUGUUCUAUUAUAUAUGUUGGUAUGGAACCUUCAGUGUUGUGGUAAUUGGAGAUAGAAGCCUAUUUAUUGGCUGAACUUAGGAUUUGCUGCAUGCAUUGAAAAAUUGAUGACAGUACCAAUUUUUCUCUGCUUCAUUUUUAAGUUUUAAGGGGGAAAAGGUUUGCUAUGAACCUCUUACUUUUCAAAAACAAAGUUGAAAUAAGGUUGAAGAUGUUUCCAGUCUCAACUUAUCAACAAUGCUCUUUCAGAACAAACCCAGUUUAAAUAGAAAUAGAAGAUUUAAUAAGCUUAUCAUGCCACAUGCUUGCUGUCACCUUGAAGCAAUUUGUAUGUAUAACAACAGAAGAGGUCCAGGUUUUUGUCUCCACUGAAUCCUUGGGCAUCAACAGUGUUCCCCUUGAUAAGAAGCAAUCUCAGGCAAGUCAAGGUGAAUUUAGAUUAUUUAUUCAUUGUUCCUUGAUUGUACCAAAGAAUUCUAGUUCAUCUAGGAACCCAUACCAAAGGUCAGCAGCAGCAGCUCAUUUGAAAGGGUAACAGCAAGCAUGGGUAUGCAGUAGGAUAGAAGAAAAUAUUUUUUGAGUGUAUGAUAUGCCAGAUACAAGAUGUGCUUCUGUAGUAGGUCCUGGCAAGCAUUUGGGAGUGCAGAUGAUAAUGGAGCUUUUCACUUUUUAACAUGAAAACAAGGUGCUGAUAUAUAUACAGCUGCACCUUGAUUUUUUAUGUUUACCAGUGUUUGAAAUGUAUAGUUUUAAUUUGCAUAUCCUAAAAAAUCUUUGGUGUGUCAGUUGAAAUGAAGCUAUGUUUAUUGAUAGCAAUAAACCUUUAAUUAAUGAAAUGACAUAAACAAACAGAUGUGUGCCACACAAGGAUAUCCUCCAAUAUAAUUGGUAGGUUGCAACCUUGUUUCUGCACUAGAGCACAGUCUCUUGUUAAGUAAGUGUGGCAUACAUCCGUCUUGUUCUUUGUAAAUAUUAACACUAUUCUGCUAGUGUUAGAAAAUAUUGAUUGUCCAUAUUUUUUGCCUCUAUUCCGUUCCACUAUUUCAGUCUUAGUUGUUGAUGUUGACCAUAAUAUGUAUGAGGUACAUAUUAGCCAGUGGAGGCUGACUGUUUGACUAGGACUUGCCCUGCUACUCUCAGGUUACAAUUGGUUAAGUAUUUUAUAUUUUAAUAUUCAAAAAUAUCUACAUGUUCAUUAUAGAUUUUUUUUCCCCACGUGAAACUAGGCAGCCCAUAAUAAUACGCCCAGCAUUCAAUUAAAGUAAAUUUUUCACUGCAGCUUGUGAAUAUUCUUGCUGGUAAGGUAGGGCAAGUCCAUAAUAUUGUCUCAGUUGCUGAAUGUGGUAUAUAAUAUACAUAUCUGUUUUGUCAUAUUGUAGUAUGUAUUCAUCAGUGUUUGUUAGGAGGCAUACACGUUUCUCAUUAACUUUAUCUUAAUUGAGUUUUUGAUAUCCUGCUAUGGGAUUUUGAAUUUUAAGAAUAAUUAGGAUGAGUGUUAAGCUUUAAGUGAUGAACCUGUGUGCCCCUGCAUGUAGGCUGGGGAACAGCAAACAAAAAGCUCUUGCUUUUGAAUGCCCCUUGUUCCGCCUGCUGAAUAAACCCCAGUGGUUAUCAUCAAGCUUAGUGGGUCAUUUUCAAGUCUAGUCUGAGGAGAUGCAGAAUAGUUGUUGGUAUCACCACUGCAGAAACAAGUAGCCUGUCCAGGAGUCUGUCUAAAUUGUAAUACAUUUCUAGAUUUGGAUGUUGCUGAAGUUAAUGGAAAAAAUUGCUGUAUUGUUGAUGGAAAAUAAUUAAGUAGGGCUUCAAAUUUCCUGGGCAGGCACUUCUUUUUGGUAGAAGACAGGAGGUCUCUGCUCAAGAUAAUGAAAGAAAGACAAGACAAAACAAAAUAUAAUUGAGUAAGGCAGCCCUGACUCUUGUGCUCAGUAUCCACUGUGAUCUUACAGGUAACUUGAUGUCCCUUCUGCUGCCUUGUGAGAAAAUGCCCACCUUCUGCACCUAUGUAUAUGAUCCUCAGUUUAGACUUGAAACUCUCGGCUUGAUACUUCUCCGUCCAUUUUGAAAACUGUAGCUGUUACGAGCUCAACAGGUGAUGUUCUUUUAGUACAUAUCAGUAGGCAAGUAGAUUUCAGGUGAGAAGGUGUUGCUAUGGUGUCUAUAGUUGGAUGAACCAUUCCGUAGUGUUUACAAUUAGGACCCUUUGUGCUGUAGUUAAUAACCAAUAAUUGUCUUUUUUUAUUCCUUGUUUUUACAAAAAAACACAAAAAACUAAAGUAAUAGAUUAUGGAUUCUUCUCAUCUGAAACUCUGGCCAGUCGGCUUUUCUAGAGGGCCCUUGUUUACAUAUUCCAUCUAAUGGAUAUGUAAAAAAAAAAUAAAAAAAAACACCAAAAAAAACCACAUGACAAAACCAGUGGACAACCAUUCCUUUCCUAGGUUAAAGUUUUACCUAUUCU
Long non-coding RNA from Cherax quadricarinatus, 4964 nucleotides. RefSeq lists it as uncharacterized. NCBI's taxonomy places the organism in Eukaryota, Metazoa, Arthropoda, Malacostraca, Decapoda, Parastacidae. The record is from RefSeq and is a predicted model, not a curated record.